RNAcentral lists this ribosomal RNA (473 nucleotides) under uncultured bacterium. RNAcentral's name for it is "SSU rRNA". It matches the Rfam family "Bacterial small subunit ribosomal RNA", at positions 26 to 521 of the family's 1533-position model. The record is from RNAcentral.
AGGACUAACGCUGGCGGCGUGCCUAACACAUGCAAGUCGAACGAGAGUAGCAAUACUCUAGUGGCAGACGGGUGAGUAACACGUGGUCAACCUUCCCUAGCGUGGGGGAUAACUAGCCGAAAGGUUAGCUAAUACCGCAUGACAUCGUCGAGUGGCAUCAUUUGACGAUCAAAGGAGCAAUCCGCGCAAGGACGGGACCGCGUCCCAUUAGCUAGUUGGUGAGGUAACGGCCCACCAAGGCUUCGAUGGGUAGCUGGUCUGAGAGGACGAUCAGCCGGAUUGGGACUGAGAUACGGCCCAGACUCCUACGGGGGGCAGGCAAUUAGGAAUCUUGCACAAUGGGGGAAACCCUGAUGCAGCGACGUCGCGUGAAGGAUGAAAUCUUUCGGGAUGUAAACUUCUUUUAUCAGCCAUGAAAAAAAUGACAGUAGCUGAUGAAUAAGCCCGGCUAACUACGUGCCAGCAGCCGCGGU